RNAcentral lists this ribosomal RNA (459 nucleotides) under uncultured bacterium. RNAcentral's name for it is "partial 16S ribosomal RNA". It matches the Rfam family "Bacterial small subunit ribosomal RNA", at positions 338 to 795 of the family's 1533-position model. The record is from RNAcentral.
CCUACGGGUGGCAGCAGUGAGGAAUAUUGGUCAAUGGCCGAGAGGCUGAACCAGCCAAGUCGCGUGAGGGAAGACGGCCCUACGGGUUGUAAACCUCUUUUGUCGGGGAGCAAAGCGAACCACGUGUGGUUCAUUGAGAGUACCCGAAGAAAAAGCAUCGGCUAACUCCGUGCCAGCAGCCGCGGUAAUACGGAGGAUGCGAGCGUUAUCCGGAUUUAUUGGGUUUAAAGGGUGCGCAGGCGGAAUGUCAAGUCAGCGGUAAAAUUUCGGGGCUCAACCCCGUCGUGCCGUUGAAACUGGGAGGCUUGAGUAUGUUUGAGGCAGGCGGAAUGCGUGGUGUAGCGGUGAAAUGCUUAGAUAUCACGCAGAACCCCGAUUGCGAAGGCAGCCUGCCAAGCCAUGACUGACGCUGAUGCACGAAAGCGUGGGGAUCAAACAGGAUUAGAUACCCCAGUAGUC